This 206-nucleotide ribosomal RNA is filed under the name uncultured bacterium. RNAcentral describes it as "partial 16S ribosomal RNA". It matches the Rfam family "Bacterial small subunit ribosomal RNA", at positions 568 to 774 of the family's 1533-position model. The record is from RNAcentral.
CGCGUAGGCGGCCUGCUAAGUCUGGAGUGAAAGUCCUGCUUUCAAGGUGGGAAUUGCUUUGGAUACUGGUGGGCUGGAGUGCAGGAGAGGAAAGCGGAAUUACCGGUGUAGCGGUGAAAUGCGUAGAGAUCGGUAGGAACACCAGUGGCGAAGGCGGCUUUCUGGACUGAAACUGACGCUGAGGCGCGAAAGCGUGGGAGCAAACA